Molecule: transfer RNA, 79 nt
Filed under: Gammaproteobacteria bacterium
Lineage: Bacteria; Pseudomonadati; Pseudomonadota; Gammaproteobacteria
Also listed under: 3 other names
Description: tRNA-Ala
Source: RNAcentral
GCUCGAGGUGGUGGGGCGCUUCCACGGCGCGCUCGCGGCGCGCCGCGCCAAGGAGGCGUUCGUAGCCCGUUUCCAGCGC